This 73-nucleotide transfer RNA is filed under the name Butyrivibrio proteoclasticus B316. Its description in RNAcentral is "tRNA-Arg (CCG) (tRNA-Arg-CCG-1-1)". It matches the Rfam family "tRNA". Rfam says of the family: Transfer RNA (tRNA) molecules are approximately 80 nucleotides in length. Their secondary structure includes four short double-helical elements and three loops (D, anti-codon, and T loops). The record is from Rfam by way of RNAcentral. Lineage: Bacteria; Bacillati; Bacillota; Clostridia; Lachnospirales; Lachnospiraceae.
GCACCCGUAGUCUAACGGAUAGAACGUAGGCCUCCGACGCCUUUGAUGCAGGUUCGAAUUCCUGUCGGGUGCA